CGAAAAAAAGAUGUCAGACGCAAUGAAUGUUCCUACCAGGAAUUCGUAUAUUUUACUUCAUACCAUUAGUAUGUUUGUUUUUAUUGUCAUACCUAACAACUGUGAUGUGCGCACUUUGUCUUUUGGAGACGAAGCGAUUCGGAGUUGACCUUAAAAUUAUAUGCAGUACAAUCAUUCAUCAUAAACAAAUCGGAGAUAAGUAUUCGUUUUUUUUACAUCAUUACAUCAGUCACCUCGGUCGGGAAACUAUUUUCAUAUUCCCGCCAAGGAUAAACAUCAGUUAUAUUCUAUACAUUACAACACUUUUGACCUUUUUCCUUGUCUUUACAGCUGGCAUGAUCCCAGACUCGUAAUACUUAUUUACCAAAAACCAUCCAAGUUAUGGGAUUGAAGGUAACGGCGAGUUUGUCGCUAAGAUUGGAAUCUUUCUUCAACACAUCAUCGACCGUAAAAAACUUAAGGGACACGAGAGAACAAAAUACGGAUGAAACGUGCUAAUUCUACCGUCA
This is a long non-coding RNA of Toxorhynchites rutilus septentrionalis, 509 nucleotides long. RefSeq lists it as uncharacterized. The transcript has 3 exons. Lineage: Eukaryota; Metazoa; Arthropoda; Insecta; Diptera; Culicidae. The record is from RefSeq and is a predicted model, not a curated record.